GAUGAAGAACGUAGCGAAAUGCGAUACGUAAUGUGAAUUGCAGAAUUCAGUGAAUCAUCGAAUCUUUGAACGCAUAUUGCGCUCUCUGGUAUUCCGGAGAGCAUGCUUGUUUGAGUAUCAGUAAACACCUCAACUCCCUUUUCUUUUUUGAAAUUGGAGCUGGACUUGAGUGAUCCCAACGCUUUCUUCCAAGAAAGUGGCGGGUUGCUUGAAAUGCAGGUGCAGCUGAACUUUUCUCUGAGCUAUAAGCAUAUCUAUUUAGUCUGCCUAAAAAACAGAUUAUUACCUUUGCUGCAGCUAACAUAAAGGAGACUAGUUCUUGUGCUGACUGAUGCAGGAUUCACAGAGACAGCUUCGGCUGACUUUGUAAACUCGAUCUCAAAUCAAGUAAGACUACCCGCUGAACUUACGCAUAUCAAUAAGCGGAGGA
RNAcentral lists this unclassified non-coding RNA (430 nucleotides) under soil metagenome. Its description in RNAcentral is "partial contains 5.8S ribosomal RNA, internal transcribed spacer 2, and large subunit ribosomal RNA". The stretch from base 1 to 120 matches the Rfam family "5.8S ribosomal RNA", at positions 35 to 154 of the family's 154-position model. The record is from RNAcentral.